CCUACGGGUGGCAGCAGUGAGGAAUAUUGGUCAAUGGGAGAGAUCCUGAACCAGCCAAGCCGCGUGAGGGAAGACGGCCCUAUGGGUUGUAAACCUCUUUUGUCGGAGAACAAAACCCGGGUCGAGUCCCGGACCGCGUGUACCCGAAGAAAAAGCAUCGGCUAACUCCGUGCCAGCAGCCGCGGUACUACGGAGGAUGCGAGCGUUAUCCGGAUUUAUUGGGUUUAAAGGGUGCGUAGGCGGUCUGUUAAGUCAGCGGUAAAAUGGCGGGGCUCAACCCCGUCGAGCCGUUGAAACUGGCAGACUUGAGUUGGCGAGAGGUACGCGGAAUGCGCGGUGUAGCGGUGAAAUGCAUAGAUAUCGCGCAGAACUCCGAUUGCGAAGGCAGCGUACCGGCGCCAGACUGACGCUGAGGCACGAAAGCGUGGGGAUCGAACAGGAUUAGAUACCCUUGUAGUC
RNAcentral lists this ribosomal RNA (459 nucleotides) under uncultured bacterium. RNAcentral describes it as "partial 16S ribosomal RNA". It matches the Rfam family "Bacterial small subunit ribosomal RNA", at positions 338 to 795 of the family's 1533-position model. The record is from RNAcentral.